GAUUAACGCUAGCGGCAGGCCUAAUACAUGCAAGUUGUACGGGAUUAUUGGUAGCAAUACUGAUAUGGGAGUAGCGCACGGGUGCGUAACACGUAUGCAACCUACCUUUAACUGGGGAAUAGCCUUCCGAAAGGAAGAUUAAUACCGCAUAACAUUGCGAAACGACAUCGUUUUGCAAUUAAACCUACGGGGGUUAGAGAUGGGCAUGCGUCCGAUUAGCUAGUUGGCGGGGUAAUAGCCCACCAAGGCAACGAUCGGCAGGGGGUCUGAGAGGAUGAUCCCCCACACUGGUACUGAGACACGGACCAGACUCCUACGGGAGGCAGCAGUAAGGAAUAUUGGACAAUGGGGCAACCCUGAUCCAGCCAUGCCGCGUGAAGGAUG
Molecule: ribosomal RNA, 384 nt
Filed under: uncultured bacterium
Lineage: Bacteria
Description: bacterial SSU rRNA
Rfam family: Bacterial small subunit ribosomal RNA
Source: RNAcentral